CACCGCGGUUAUACGAGAGACCCAAGUUGAUUGCCACCGGCGUAAAGAGUGGUUAAGAUAAAAUGAAACUAAAGCCGAACGCCCCCAAAGCUGUUAUACGCAUACGGGUGCAAGAAGAUCAACCACGAAGGUGGCUUUACUAACCUGAACCCACGAAAGCUAAGAAA
This 167-nucleotide ribosomal RNA is filed under the name Aulichthys japonicus (tubenose). Its description in RNAcentral is "partial 12S ribosomal RNA". Lineage: Eukaryota; Metazoa; Chordata; Actinopteri; Perciformes; Aulorhynchidae. The record is from RNAcentral.